UGGGGAAUAUUGCACAAUGGAGGGAACUCUGAUGCAGCGACGCCGCGUGAACGAAGAAGGCUUUCGAGUCGUAAAGUUCUUUUAUAUGGGAAGAUAAUGACGGUACCAUAAGAAAAAGCCCCGGCGAACUACGUGCCAGCAGCCGCGGUAAUACGUAGGGGGCUAGCGUUUUCCGGAAUCACUGGGCGUAAAGGGUUCGCAGGCGGAAAUGCAAGUCAGGUGUAAAAGGCAGUAGCUUAACUACUGUAAGCAUUUGAAACUGCAUAUCUUGAGAAGAGUAGAGGUAAGUGGAAUUUUUAGUGUAGCGGUGAAAUGCGUAGAUAUUAAAAAGAAUACCGGUGGCGAAGGCGACUUACUGGGAUCAUUCUGACGCUGAGGAACGAAAGCGUGGGUAGCAAACAGG
This 403-nucleotide ribosomal RNA is filed under the name Fusobacteriota bacterium. RNAcentral describes it as "Fusobacteria bacterium partial 16S ribosomal RNA". It matches the Rfam family "Bacterial small subunit ribosomal RNA", at positions 355 to 776 of the family's 1533-position model. Lineage: Bacteria; Fusobacteriati; Fusobacteriota. The record is from RNAcentral.